This 503-nucleotide long non-coding RNA is filed under the name Brassica napus (rape). RNAcentral describes it as "long non-coding RNA (BNAP_LNC027135)". The record is from RNAcentral. Lineage: Eukaryota; Viridiplantae; Streptophyta; Magnoliopsida; Brassicales; Brassicaceae.
UCAAUACUUUUUUUUUUAUCUAAACCCUAAACCAUCAACCAUAAACCCUAAAACUCAACUCUAAACCCUAAACCGUCAAUUUUAAACCUUAUUUUUUCUUAAAUAUGAACCCUAAACCCUGAAACAUGAACUCUAAACCCUAAACCCCGAAACAUCAACUCUAAACCCUAAACCCUAAAACAUCAACUUUAAACCCUAAACCCUAAACUUCAACUCUAAACCCUAAACCAUCAACACUAAACCCUAAAAUAUCAACACUAAACCCUAAACCCUAAAAGUAAACUCUAAACCGUAAACCCUAAAAAAUUAAGCCUAAACCCUAAAACAUUAACUCUAAACCCUAAACCUUCAACUCUAAACCUUAAAUCCUAAACCCUAAAUCCUAAACCCUAAACCCUAAAACUAGAGUUGAUGUUUUAGGGUUUAGAUUUGAAGGUUUAGAGUUUUAGGGAUUAGAGUUUACGUUUAGGGUUUAGAGUUGAUGUUUUAGGGUUUAGAUUUGA